GAGAGGGGAGGAAGCCAUGAGAGAGCCAGUGACGGAGCAAACAGAAACUCUUCUGAGGAAUGCCGGUGCCCGGUUUAGGAAAUGAGGGAGGAGAAAAAUAGAAAAACAAAACAAAACCAGUAGCAGCAAAAAGGCACGACAGAACAAGGCUUGACAGGAUCUGAUAGAAUGGCUGCAUGGUACUUUUGGCAAACAACGAUCUGGCACCGAUAGGCGCGACAGACGGGAAUAAAUAGAGCAGAAGAUGAACAGACAUUGAAUUCAGCUCGAGCUCGAGGCCGUGGGGAAGCAGAUUUACGACCUGGAACAGAGGCAGGCCCAGCUGAGAGAGCAGAGAGCCGCGCUGGAAUCAUCCCGGGCUGACGCUCACAAGUCCGGGAUACCCGCAAUCCUGAAGGACGACAAGAGCCCCAGAGCGGUCGUGCUUCACGCCGGGGUUAACGACACCACGCUGUGGCAGACGGAGACGCUGAAGAGGGACUUCAGGAGCCUGAUCGAGACGGUUCGCAGCACGACGCCCGCGGCGACGAUCGUCGUGUCAGGACCACUGCCCACGUAUCGACGAGGACACGAAAGGUUCAGUAGACUUUUUGCUUUAAAUGAAUGGUUGUUGUCAUGGUGUAAAGAACAGAAACUGCUAUUUGUUAAUAACUGGAAUCUUUUCUGGGAGCGUCCUAGACUGUUUCGCGCUGAUGGAUUACACCCCAGCAAAAUCGGAGCGGAGCUUCUCUCUGACAACAUCUCCAGGACACUUCGCUCCUUGUG
This is a long non-coding RNA of Carassius gibelio (silver crucian carp), 765 nucleotides long. RefSeq lists it as uncharacterized. NCBI's taxonomy places the organism in Eukaryota, Metazoa, Chordata, Actinopteri, Cypriniformes, Cyprinidae. The record is from RefSeq and is a predicted model, not a curated record. The transcript has 3 exons.